AUUGAACGCUGGCGGCAGGCCUAACACAUGCAAGUCGGACGAGUGGCGGACGGGUGAGUAAUGUCUGGGAAACUGCCUGAUGGAGGGGGAUAACUACUGGAAACGGUAGCUAAUACCGCCUCCACUCAGAUGAGCCCAAAUGGGAUUAGCUUGUUGGUGGGGAAACGGCUCACCAAGGCGACGAUCCCUAGCUGGUCUGAGAGGAGGACCAGCCAAAAUGGGACGUAGACACGGCCCAGAGUCCUACGGGAGGCAGCAGUGGGGAAUAUUGCACAAUGGGCGCAAGCCUGAUGCAGCCAUGCCGCGUGUAUGAAGAAGGCCUUCGGGUUGUAAAGUACUUUCAGUCGGGAGGCGUUACCGGCAGAAGAAGCACCGGCUAACUCCGUGCCAGCAGCCGCGGUAAUAC
RNAcentral lists this ribosomal RNA (406 nucleotides) under uncultured bacterium. Its description in RNAcentral is "partial 16S ribosomal RNA". It matches the Rfam family "Bacterial small subunit ribosomal RNA", at positions 30 to 526 of the family's 1533-position model. The record is from RNAcentral.